Molecule: ribosomal RNA, 498 nt
Filed under: uncultured bacterium
Lineage: Bacteria
Description: partial 16S ribosomal RNA
Rfam family: Bacterial small subunit ribosomal RNA
Source: RNAcentral
GAUGAACGCUAGCGGCAGGCCUAAUACAUGCAAGUCGAGGGAGAAUGUUGGAUUCGUCUGACAUGAAACCGGCGCACGGGUGCGUAACACGUAUGCAACCUACCUUUAACUGGGGUAUAGCUCAGAGAAAUCUGAAUUAAUCCUCCAUAAGACUACGACAUGGCAUCAUGAUGUAGUUAAAGCUCCGGCGGUUAAGGAUGGGCAUGCGGUACAUUAGCUAGUUGGUGAGGUAAUGGCUCACCAAGGCUACGAUGUAUAGGGGGUCUGAGAGGAUGAUCCCCCACACUGGUACUGAGACACGGACCAGACUCCUACGGGAGGCAGCAGUAGGGAAUAUUGGUCAAUGGACGCAAGUCUGAACCAGCCAUGCCGCGUGAAGGAUGAAGGCCCUAUGGGUCGUAAACUCCUUUUAUUAGGGAAGAAAAAACGGGAUGCGUCCUGUACUGACGGUACUUAAUGAAUAAGGAUCGGCUAACUUCGUGCCAGCCGCCGCGGUAA